Molecule: ribosomal RNA, 460 nt
Filed under: uncultured bacterium
Lineage: Bacteria
Description: partial 16S ribosomal RNA
Rfam family: Bacterial small subunit ribosomal RNA
Source: RNAcentral
CCUACGGGGGGCAGCAGUGAGGAAUAUUGGUCAAUGGACGAGAGUCUGAACCAGCCAAGUAGCGUGAAGGAUGACUGCCCUAUGGGUUGUAAACUUCUUUUAUAUGGGAAUAAAACGUUCCACGUGUGGGAUUUUGUAUGUACCAUAUGAAUAAGGAUCGGCUAACUCCGUGCCAGCAGCCGCGGUAAUACGGAGGAUCCGAGCGUUAUCCGGAUUUAUUGGGUUUAAAGGGAGCGUAGGUGGAUUGUAAAGUCAGUUGUGAAAGUUUGCGGCUCAACCGUAAAAUUGCAGUUGAAACUGGCAGUCUUGAGUACAGUAGAGGUGGGCGGAAUUCGUGGUGUAGCGGUGAAAUGCUUAGAUAUCACGAAGAACUCCGAUUGCGAAGGCAGUUCACUGGACUGCAACUGACACUGAGGCUCGAAAGUGUGGGUAUCAAACAGGAUUAGAUACCCCAGUAGUC